GUGAGGUAACGGCUCACCAAGGCGACGACGGGUAGCUGGUCUGAGAGGACGAUCAGCCACACUGGGACUGAGACACGGCCCAGACUCCUACGGGAGGCAGCAGUGGGGAAUCUUGCGCAAUGGGCGAAAGCCUGACGCAGCGACGCCGCGUGGGGGAUGAAGGCCUUAGGGUCGUAAACCCCUUUCAGCAGGGACGAAGAUGACGGUACCUGCAGAAGAAGCCCCGGCCAACUACGUGCCAGCAGCCGCGGUAAGACGUAGGGGGCGAGCGUUGUCCGGAAUUAUUGGGCGUAAAGGGCUCGUAGGCGGUUCGGUAAGUCGGAUGUGAAAACUUGGGGCUCAACCCUGAGACGCCAUCUGAUACUGCUGUGACUUGAGUUCGGUAGAGGAGUGUGGAAUUCCUGGUGUAGCGGUGAAAUGCGCAGAUAUCAGGAGGAACACCUACGGCGAAGGCAGCACUCUGGGCCGAGACUGACGCUGAGGAGCGAAGGCGUGGGUAGCAAACAGGAUUAGAUACCCUGGUAGUCCACGCCGUAAACGGUGGGCACUAGGUGUGGGGCCUUAUCAACGGAUUCCGUGCCGAAGCUAACGCAUUAAGUG
RNAcentral lists this ribosomal RNA (600 nucleotides) under uncultured Actinobacteridae bacterium. RNAcentral's name for it is "bacterial SSU rRNA". It matches the Rfam family "Bacterial small subunit ribosomal RNA", at positions 252 to 866 of the family's 1533-position model. Lineage: Bacteria; Bacillati; Actinomycetota; Actinomycetes. The record is from RNAcentral.